GCCUACGACCAUCUCACCCUGAAUGCGCCCGAUCUCGUCUGAUCUUGGAAGCUAAGCCAGGGUCGAGCCUGGUUAGUACUUGGAU
This 85-nucleotide ribosomal RNA is filed under the name Petromyzon marinus (sea lamprey). Lineage: Eukaryota; Metazoa; Chordata; Hyperoartia; Petromyzontiformes; Petromyzontidae. The record is from RNAcentral.